GAUGAACGCUGGCGGCGUGCCUAAUACAUGCAAGUCGAGCGAACAGAUGAGGAGCUUGCUCCUCUGACGUUAGCGGCGGACGGGUGAGUAACACGUGGAUAACCUACCUAUAAGACUGGGAUAACUUCGGGAAACCGGAGCUAAUACCGGAUAAUAUAUUGAACCGCAUGGUUCAAUAGUGAAAGACGGUUUUGCUGUCACUUAUAGAUGGAUCCGCGCCGCAUUAGCUAGUUUGUAAGGUAACGGCUUACCAAGGCGACGAUGCGUAGCCGACCUGAGAGGGUGAUCGGCCACACUGGAACUGAGACACGGUCCAGACUCCUACGGGAGGCAGCAGUAGGGAAUCUUCCGCAAUGGGCGAAAGCCUGACGGAGCAACGCCGCGUGAGUGAUGAAGGUCUUCGGAUCGUAAAACUCUGUUAUUAGGGAAGAACAAAUGUGUAAGUAACUAUGCACGUCUUGACGGUACCUAAUCAGAAAGCCACGGCUAACUACGUG
RNAcentral lists this ribosomal RNA (497 nucleotides) under uncultured bacterium. RNAcentral's name for it is "partial 16S ribosomal RNA". It matches the Rfam family "Bacterial small subunit ribosomal RNA", at positions 28 to 507 of the family's 1533-position model. The record is from RNAcentral.